RNAcentral lists this ribosomal RNA (1541 nucleotides) under Escherichia coli. RNAcentral describes it as "bacterial SSU rRNA". It matches the Rfam family "Bacterial small subunit ribosomal RNA". Lineage: Bacteria; Pseudomonadati; Pseudomonadota; Gammaproteobacteria; Enterobacterales; Enterobacteriaceae. The record is from RNAcentral.
AAAUUGAAGAGUUUGAUCAUGGCUCAGAUUGAACGCUGGCGGCAGGCCUAACACAUGCAAGUCGAACGGUAACAGGAAACAGCUUGCUGUUUCGCUGACGAGUGGCGGACGGGUGAGUAAUGUCUGGGAAACUGCCUGAUGGAGGGGGAUAACUACUGGAAACGGUAGCUAAUACCGCAUAACGUCGCAAGACCAAAGAGGGGGACCUUCGGGCCUCUUGCCAUCGGAUGUGCCCAGAUGGGAUUAGCUAGUAGGUGGGGUAACGGCUCACCUAGGCGACGAUCCCUAGCUGGUCUGAGAGGAUGACCAGCCACACUGGAACUGAGACACGGUCCAGACUCCUACGGGAGGCAGCAGUGGGGAAUAUUGCACAAUGGGCGCAAGCCUGAUGCAGCCAUGCCGCGUGUAUGAAGAAGGCCUUCGGGUUGUAAAGUACUUUCAGCGGGGAGGAAGGGAGUAAAGUUAAUACCUUUGCUCAUUGACGUUACCCGCAGAAGAAGCACCGGCUAACUCCGUGCCAGCAGCCGCGGUAAUACGGAGGGUGCAAGCGUUAAUCGGAAUUACUGGGCGUAAAGCGCACGCAGGCGGUUUGUUAAGUCAGAUGUGAAAUCCCCGGGCUCAACACUGGGAACUGCAUCUGAUACUGGCAAGCUUGAGUCUCGUAGAGGGGGGUAGAAUUCAGGUGUAGCGGUGAAAUGCGUAGAGAUCUGGAGGAAUACCGGUGGCGAAGGCGGCCCCUGGACGAAGACUGACGCUCAGGUGCGAAAGCGUGGGGAGCAAACAGGAUUAGAUACCCUGGUAGUCCACGCCGUAAACGAUGUCGACUUGGAGGUUGUGCCCUUGAGGCGUGGCUUCCGGAGCUAACGCGUUAAGUCGACCGCCUGGGGAGUACGGCCGCAAGGUUAAAACUCAAAUGAAUUGACGGGGGCCCGCACAAGCGGUGGAGCAUGUGGUUUAAUUCGAUGCAACGCGAAGAACCUUACCUGGUCUUGACAUCCACGGAAGUUUUCAGAGAUGAGAAUGUGCCUUCGGGAACCGUGAGACAGGUGCUGCAUGGCUGUCGUCAGCUCGUGUUGUGAAAUGUUGGGUUAAGUCCCGCAACGAGCGCAACCCUUAUCCUUUGUUGCCAGCGGUCCGGCCGGGAACUCAAAGGAGACUGCCAGUGAUAAACUGGAGGAAGGUGGGGAUGACGUCAAGUCAUCAUGGCCCUUACGACCAGGGCUACACACGUGCUACAAUGGCGCAUACAAAGAGAAGCGACCUCGCGAGAGCAAGCGGACCUCAUAAAGUGCGUCGUAGUCCGGAUUGGAGUCUGCAACUCGACUCCAUGAAGUCGGAAUCGCUAGUAAUCGUGGAUCAGAAUGCCACGGUGAAUACGUUCCCGGGCCUUGUACACACCGCCCGUCACACCAUGGGAGUGGGUUGCAAAAGAAGUAGGUAGCUUAACCUUCGGGAGGGCGCUUACCACUUUGUGAUUCAUGACUGGGGUGAAGUCGUAACAAGGUAACCGUAGGGGAACCUGCGGUUGGAUCACCUCCUUA